Molecule: long non-coding RNA, 199 nt
Filed under: Elaeis guineensis (African oil palm)
Lineage: Eukaryota; Viridiplantae; Streptophyta; Magnoliopsida; Arecales; Arecaceae
Description: long non-coding RNA (EGUI_LNC032428)
Source: RNAcentral
UCAGGAACAACUAUAUUUUGCCUCUAAUAAACACCAUAGAAGUACUAAUUUUCUUCCACUAAAAAAUAAAAACCAGUGGAUAUCAUAUUUAAGAAAAGAAAACCCACUAAAAUUAAAAAUCAGGGGAUAUCAUAUUUAGAAAAAAAACAAAGACAUACAUUUAUACCCACUACGCUUCAUCCAUUGAGUAUCCCUAUGA